This 470-nucleotide ribosomal RNA is filed under the name uncultured bacterium. RNAcentral's name for it is "bacterial SSU rRNA". It matches the Rfam family "Bacterial small subunit ribosomal RNA", at positions 333 to 793 of the family's 1533-position model. The record is from RNAcentral.
UCACUCCUACGGGAGGCAGCAGUGGGGGAAUAUUGCACAAUGGGGGAAACCCUGAUGCAGCCAUGCCGCGUGUGUGAAGAAGGCCUUCGGGUUGUAAAGCACUUUCAGUAGGGAGGAAGGUAGUGUAGUUAACACCUGCAUUAUUUGACGUUACCUACAGAAGAAGCACCGGCUAACUCCGUGCCAGCAGCCGCGGUAAUACGGAGGGUGCGAGCGUUAAUCGGAAUUACUGGGCGUAAAGCGCAUGCAGGCGGCCUGUUAAGUCAGAUGUGAAAGCCCCGGGGCUUAACCUCGGAAUUGCAUUUGAAACUGGCAGGCUAGAGUCUUGUAGAGGGGGUAGAAUUUCAGGUGUAGCGGUGAAAUGCGUAGAGAUCUGAAGGAAUACCAGUGGCGAAGGCGGCCCCCUGGACAAAGACUGACGCUCAGAUGCGAAAGCGUGGGGAGCAAACAGGAUUAGAUACCCCUGGUAG